AACGCAAAUUGCACUCUUUGGUAUUCCGAGGAGUAUGCCUGCUUAAGGGUUGGUCUACAAGUGAAAAAGAACUUUUUUCACUGAUCUGGUUUCCUAAGACUUCGGCCUAAAACUUAACGAUCUUUAGGCAUUAAAAGUUUGUUGGUAAUUAUUACCAAUUGUUACGUCGUGUUAUUCGCCUAGUACCUUUUUGAUUAGGUGAACCGACCUCAAUUCAAGAGUACCUGCAGGACUUAA
Molecule: unclassified non-coding RNA, 237 nt
Filed under: uncultured fungus
Lineage: Eukaryota; Fungi
Description: sequence contains ITS2
Source: RNAcentral